UGGCCUACGGGCGGCUGCAGUAGGGAAUAUUGGUUAAUCUGCGAAAGCGGGAACCAGCAACGCCGCGUGCACGAUGAAGGCCUUCGGGUUGUAAAGUGCUUUUUGAGAGGAUGAGGAAGGACAGUACUCUUAGAAUAAGCUUCGGCUAACUACGUGCCAGCAGCCGCGGUAAAACGUAGGAAGCGAGCGUUAUCCGGAUUUACUGGGCGUAAAGCGUGUGUAGGCGGUUUGAUAAGUUGGAUGUGAAAGCUCCUGGCUUAACUGGGAGAGGUCGUUCAAAACUAUCAGACUUGAGAGUGGUAGAGGGAGGUGGAAUUCCGGGUGUAGUGGUGAAAUGCGUAGAUAUCCGGAGGAACACCAGUGGCGAAAGCGGCCUCCUGGCCCAUUUCUGACGCUCAGACACGAAAGCUAAGGUAGCAAACGGGAUUAGAUACCCUAGUAGUC
RNAcentral lists this ribosomal RNA (444 nucleotides) under uncultured bacterium. RNAcentral's name for it is "bacterial SSU rRNA". It matches the Rfam family "Bacterial small subunit ribosomal RNA", at positions 335 to 795 of the family's 1533-position model. The record is from RNAcentral.